Molecule: long non-coding RNA, 847 nt
Organism: Daucus carota subsp. sativus
Lineage: Eukaryota; Viridiplantae; Streptophyta; Magnoliopsida; Apiales; Apiaceae
Exons: 2
Source: RefSeq, a predicted model, not a curated record
ACUUGGUGGCCAAGGUUUGCUUGUGUCAUGGAUGACUUCAUCUUUUGCUUAUGUCAUGCAUGACAUCAUCCUCCACCAUUUGCCUAUAAAUACAAAGCCUCCCCCCACCCAUUUUCUUCAAGCUAAGAGCCAAAUAUAUGCUGAGAUUUUGAAGUGAAAAUACUCUCCCAAAGUUUAUUAAAGCACCCACCAUAUUUACUUCAUCUUUAAAACCUUCGAUUCUUCAUAUACUUCGUUAUAUACACAAGGUUUUAAACCCCGAGGCUUCGUACCACCCAACCUAGCCAAAUCUCGCUUAGCUCAUUUUCAUACCACUCUUUUUGUCCUCCCGAAGGGCUCUCAAAAGUUCGUGUGCAAAGCCAAAAUCCGGUCGAACCUCCGACGAAUUUUUCCGGCGAACUUUUUUGAGGUGAAGUGAAGUGAGGUGAUCUUCGUUCUAAGACCCAAGUCCUUGACGUAUUGACGGGGAGUUAAUAGUCAUUGCACCGUGAGGAAGAGGAAAGACCCAAGAUCUAAUACCUAAGACCCGAGACCGGCAAAAGGUGUAGAAGUACAAAGACUACACAAGGUUCUACAUCGACUUUGAGGAAGUAACGGGGAGUUACGUUCCAAGACAAGCUUUGUAGGUGUUUUUACAUUUAUAGUGAGGAGGUAACGGGAAGUUACGCUCCAAGAUAUAUAUUUGUAAUGGCUUCUCCGCCUACUUUAAAGGAGUAUCUUUUUAGUAGAGAAAAUCUCGAGUCCGGGGAGGAGCUCGGGGACUGGACUAGGGGUGAGUGGACUCCAUCGGUUGAGUUAGCCACCGCGAACCAGGAUAAAAUCCCUCGUGUGGUAUUUUUCUUUCUUU